Molecule: ribosomal RNA, 264 nt
Filed under: uncultured bacterium
Lineage: Bacteria
Description: partial 16S ribosomal RNA
Rfam family: Bacterial small subunit ribosomal RNA
Source: RNAcentral
GUCCACGCUGUAAACGUUGGGCGCUAGGUGUGGGGGACCUCUCCGGUUCUCUGUGCCGCAGCUAACGCAUUAAGCGCCCCGCCUGGGGAGUACGGCCGCAAGGCUAAAACUCAAAGGAAUUGACGGGGGCCCCGCACAAGCGGCGGAGCAUGCGGAUUAAUUCGAUGCAACGCGAAGAACCUUACCUGGGUUUUGACAUCGCCGGAAAACUCGUAGAGAUACGGGGUCCUUCGGGGCCGGUGACAGGUGGUGCAUGGCUGUCGU